RNAcentral lists this ribosomal RNA (547 nucleotides) under uncultured bacterium. Its description in RNAcentral is "partial 16S ribosomal RNA". It matches the Rfam family "Bacterial small subunit ribosomal RNA", at positions 355 to 895 of the family's 1533-position model. The record is from RNAcentral.
UGGGGAAUUUUGGACAAUGGGCGAAAGCCUGAUCCAGCAAUGCCGCGUGUGUGAAGAAGGCCUUCGGGUUGUAAAGCACUUUUGUCCGGAAAGAAAUCCUUGGCUCUAAUACAGUCGGGGGAUGACGGUACCGGAAGAAUAAGCACCGGCUAACUACGUGCCAGCAGCCGCGGUAAUACGUAGGGUGCAAGCGUUAAUCGGAAUUACUGGGCGUAAAGCGUGCGCAGGCGGUUUGCUAAGACCGAUGUGAAAUCCCCGGGCUCAACCUGGGAACUGCAUUGGUGACUGGCAGGCUAGAGUAUGGCAGAGGGGGGUAGAAUUCCACGUNUAGCAGUGAAAUGCGUAGAGAUGUGGAGGAAUACCGAUGGCGAAGGCAGCCCCCUGGGCCAAUACUGACGCUCAUGCACGAAAGCGUGGGGAGCAAACAGGAUUAGAUACCCUGGUAGUCCACGCCCUAAACGAUGUCAACUGGUUGUUGGGGAUUCAUUUCCUUAGUAACGUAGCUAACGCGUGAAGUUGACCGCCUGGGGAGUACGGUCGCAAGAUU